UCGGCCGGGAACUCAAAGGAGACUGCCAGUGAUAAACUGGAGGAAGGUGGGGAUGACGUCAAGUCAUCACGGCCCUUACGAGUAGGGCUACACACGAGCUACAAUGGCGCAUACAAAGAGAAGCGACCUCGCGAGAGCAAGCGGACCUCAUAAAGUGCGUCGUAGUCCGGAUUGGA
RNAcentral lists this ribosomal RNA (176 nucleotides) under uncultured Leclercia sp. Its description in RNAcentral is "partial 16S ribosomal RNA". It matches the Rfam family "Bacterial small subunit ribosomal RNA", at positions 1127 to 1302 of the family's 1533-position model. The record is from RNAcentral. Lineage: Bacteria; Pseudomonadati; Pseudomonadota; Gammaproteobacteria; Enterobacterales; Enterobacteriaceae.